UUAAAUUGAAGAGUUUGAUCAUGGCUCAGAUUGAACGCUGGCGGCAGGCCUAACACAUGCAAGUCGAACGGUAACAGAAAGCAGCUUGCUGCUUUGCUGACGAGUGGC
RNAcentral lists this ribosomal RNA (108 nucleotides) under Escherichia coli. RNAcentral's name for it is "partial 16S ribosomal RNA". It matches the Rfam family "Bacterial small subunit ribosomal RNA", at positions 1 to 99 of the family's 1533-position model. The record is from RNAcentral. Lineage: Bacteria; Pseudomonadati; Pseudomonadota; Gammaproteobacteria; Enterobacterales; Enterobacteriaceae.